RNAcentral lists this unclassified non-coding RNA (315 nucleotides) under plant metagenome. RNAcentral's name for it is "partial contains 5.8S ribosomal RNA, internal transcribed spacer 2, and large subunit ribosomal RNA". The stretch from base 1 to 105 matches the Rfam family "5.8S ribosomal RNA", at positions 50 to 154 of the family's 154-position model. The record is from RNAcentral.
AAAAUGCGAUAAGUAAUGUGAAUUGCAGAAUUCAGUGAAUCAUCGAAUCUUUGAACGCACAUUGCGCCCGCCAGUAUUCUGGCGGGCAUGCCUGUUCGAGCGUCAUUUCAACCCUCAAGCCCCCGGGUUUGGUGUUGGGGAUCGGGCUGCGGUUCUACCGCGUCCCGGCCCCGAAAUCUAGUGGCGGUCUCGCUGCAGCCUCCAUUGCGUAGUAGCUAACACCUCGCAACUGGAACGCGGCGCGGCCAAGCCGUUAAACCCCCAACUUCUGAAUGUUGACCUCGGAUCAGGUAGGAAUACCCACUGAACUUAAGC